UUCUNGAGCGCACUGAAUAAGCGAAGCUGACCNUNGGAAACGUGCGUGACGACUACAACUAUUAGGCUCGUCNAGAUCCGGCAGGAGCGAUCCGACAGCGAUGCUCACUCCGGCGGGCACGGNGAUUGUCGGAUGGGCAUGGGUGGCGNNAACAACGACCGUNGAUGNCAAGACGCCNAACCCUGCGUGAUGGCGANCGAGCAUGCGCACCUCCUUCUAGCGAUACUAGCGCUAGCCACCUCGUCGAAUCUUNCUNCCUGCCCCUCUUCNUUNCAACACAGCACACUCCCGUGGCUCGCCAUGGCUAACCUUAGGGCAUGAAUACCAAUCUGGAUUCGUANCNA
Molecule: ribosomal RNA, 344 nt
Filed under: uncultured eukaryote
Lineage: Eukaryota
Description: partial 18S ribosomal RNA
Source: RNAcentral